RNAcentral lists this unclassified non-coding RNA (367 nucleotides) under soil metagenome. RNAcentral's name for it is "partial contains 5.8S ribosomal RNA, internal transcribed spacer 2, and large subunit ribosomal RNA". The stretch from base 1 to 120 matches the Rfam family "5.8S ribosomal RNA", at positions 35 to 154 of the family's 154-position model. The record is from RNAcentral.
GAUGAAGAACGUAGCGAAAUGCGAUAAGUAAUGUGAAUUGCAGAAUUCAGUGAAUCAUCGAAUCUUUGAACGCAUCUUGCGCUCCUUGGUAUUCUGAGGAGCAUGCCUGUUUGAGUGUCAUUAAAUUCUCAACUACACUGACUUUGAAUUGGUGUGGCUUGGAUUUGGGGGGAAAAUUGUUGUGGGCUUUUUGUAUAGUCUGCUCCCCUGAAAUUGAUUAGCGGUACCUUUGUGGAACUGUCUACAGGUGUGAUAAUUAUCUACAUCUGCUGGAAUGCUGCUUUCUAAACCUUACUUGUAUUGACAAUCUUGACCUCAAAUCAGGUAGGACUACCCGCUGAACUUAAGCAUAUCAAUAAGCGGAGGA